UCUGCCAUCUUCUCAGUCUGCCAGAUUUCCAAAUAAAGUUGUAUUCCUUUGCCUCAACACCUCAUCUCCGAUUCGUUAGCCUGUCGUCCAGCGAGCAGGGUGAGCUUGGACUCAGUAACAAAUUUGGCUUAGCCAGCCAGGAGCCUUGCUGCUCAUGGCUAGCCGGCCCCGCUCAGGGAAUAUUGGGGCAGGGCCGUAGCAGCUGCCAGGACCAUUGUCCUGAGGACCUUCCCUUCAAAGUUCCCUUGAAGCGACACCAGCUACCCCAGCACUUGGCAGUUGAGGCAAGGAACCAACAAACUCCCAUUUCGGGAACUUCGGUUCCAUCUGGGGCUACAAGUCAAUGGACUCGAUUCGAUUCUGGAGGCUUGAGACACUCUUUGUGGAUAAAUUCAAGGUUAGCAGGGCUUCCCUCGUGGCACAGUGGUUGGGACUCCACCUGCCAAUGCAGGGGACACGGGUUCGAUCCCUGGUCUGCAAAGAUCCCACAUGCUGUGGAGCAGCUAAGCCAGAGCACCACAACUACCGAGGCUGUGCUCUAGAGCCGGCGAGCCACAACUACUGAGCCCACAUGCCACAACUACUGAAGCCCGCGUGCCUAGAGCCCAUGCUCCGCAACAGGACAGGCCACCGCAAUGGGAAGCCCGUGCACCACAAGGAAGAGUGGCCCCUGCUCACCGCAACUAGAGAAAGCCCGCGGGCAGCAACGAAGACCCAACGCAGCCAAAAAUAAAGAAAUAAAUUU
Molecule: long non-coding RNA, 745 nt
Organism: Lagenorhynchus albirostris (white-beaked dolphin)
Lineage: Eukaryota; Metazoa; Chordata; Mammalia; Artiodactyla; Delphinidae
Exons: 3
Source: RefSeq, a predicted model, not a curated record